Long non-coding RNA from Oreochromis aureus, 3777 nucleotides. The record is from Ensembl. Lineage: Eukaryota; Metazoa; Chordata; Actinopteri; Cichliformes; Cichlidae.
AACCGACAGCGACCUCUACCGGGCAAUAUGGCUAUUUAUUGAAGAAUCUCCAGAAAUCGUCCAAUCGGCGCUCGGAUUCUGUGUCACGUGACGGUGCAGCCGCGUAGAAGAAGGAGCAAACGGCAACAUCAAACAUGGAGGUGUCCCCGUUCAGCUUCACUCCGGAGAGGUACUGGACGGAGGAGAAAGAGAGGGCGCUUAUAGCGUUUUUCUCCAAGCACAGCUGUCUGUGGAACCACAAGUCCGACGGUUAUAAGAACCGGCAGCUGCGAUGGAAAACCCUGGAAACACUGAGGAUCCUGCUGUCAACUCUCCCACCUCCAGUCCCAUUCACAGUGGAAGACAUCAAAAACAAGUUCAAGAACCUCCGUACAACUUUUCAGCGUCAGUACAAAAUGGUUAAAGCAAGUAAGGUGUGCAACCCGGACGACGAGUUUGUGCCGCAGUGGAAGCACUACCAUCAGCUCAUGUUCCUGCAGGGCUGCUGGGACCAGGACGACCACGACUCCGCCGCCGGCGAACCGCCGCUGUCACCACUGAACGCUCUGCAGGAAGAGGGCCAGCCUGUCCUCACCUCCCCAGGACUCAUCAUCUCCUUCCUCCCCACCCCGUCCACGUCAUCCGCCUCCUCCUCGUCCACCUGUGUUCCCUCCAGUGUCAUGAUUAAAUGUUACUGGACUGAAGAGAGGGAGCGAGCUCUGAUUUCUUUCUAUUGUGAGCACAACUGUCUCUGGAACAAGAAGUCUGAAAACCACAACAACCGUCAGCUCAGACUGAGGUUGUUGGAGGCUCUGAGGAGCCAGCUGUCCGACCACACAGUGUCGUUCUCAGUUGAAGACAUAAAGUGCAAGUUCAAGAACCUACGGACUGUUUUUAACCGCGAGUUCAAGGCGGUCCAGGCGAGCAGGGUGUCUGACAAACCCUACGUGUCCAAAUGGAAACACUACCAGCAGCUGCUUUUUCUCUGCGAGUCCUGCGACGAAGACGACGGCUCUGAAGAUCUGCAGAUCCUGACACCGCAAGAAGACAAGGAUCGGGAGCACGGAAACCAGACCCCGUCCUCCACCCUGAGCAGUUUCUCCUCCAGCUCCAACCAAACCAGCAACAUCAAACUCAGCACCGCCUCCGCCCCCUCCAGCUCCACUCAGAGUGACGCCAAAACCGGGACAAGCGCUGGGUACCAAAUCUUCCUCCCUGCAGCUCCGGAUAACCUCAGACUAGGCAGCCAAUCAGCCACUUCCACGUUGCCAACUUCUCCAUCCAGUUCACUGCCAGAUACCAGAUCCUGUACCAACCCCUCCCCUUUAAAUUUUUCUACAGCCAGUUCGGUUCAGCCAGACAACAGACUGAGCGCUGACACCCGCUGCCUCUGGAGCGAGGCCAAAGUUCAGCAGCUCAUCUCAUUUUACUCCGAGCACAGCUGUUUGUGGAACCACAAAUCUGAGAGUUAUAGGAACCGUCUGCUGAGACAGAGCCUGCUGGAAACGCUGAGCAGCAUCCUGUCAGACAACGAGACGGUCCCAUUCACAGUGGAAGACAUAAAGACGAAGUUCAGGAACCUGCGAACCAUCUUCCAGCGUGAACACAAGGCGGUGAGCUCCAACAAAACAUGCGGCUCAGAGGACUUCUACCUUCCAAAGUGGAAGCACUACCGCGACCUCAUGUUCCUCUGCGACUCCUGCGACGAGGAUGAGCAGCCCGAGAACGUCCACUUCUGCCAGCUGCAGGACGCCGGUCUCCUCCACAUGGACAGCCAAGCCCCACCUCCCCCCUUACACUACCGUGCCACCAACCAAACUGUCUCCAAGCUGAACACGCGGGGUCUCAAAGCCCCACCCUCACCUACACCCCCAGAUUCCCAGCACUCCUCCCCUUCCUCGUCCCCCUCCCCUUCCACAUCUUCCUCCCACACAGACAGCAGAGUAUCUGGACGCAAGCGCACGAGCCACCGGGCGACCGCCACCGAGGUGCUGGACCUCAUGAGGACAUUAUGUCAGACCCAAGCAGCAUCCCCACAUGCAGGGUUCCUGAGGUAUGUGGAGGAGUGUCUGAAUGAGACGCCGCCUGACAAAGUGAGGAAGCUGAAGAAGAAGAUAAUAGAGACGAUUCACAGCAUGUCAGAGGAUGUUUAGUGUGCUUAUUCAUUCAUUUCAUUCUUGUUCUCAGCCCGAGUCUAGAUCUCGUGAUCAUCUUUUCUAAUAGCUGUGACGCUUUAAUCUCAAAACUUCGGUACAAUGAUCAUAAUAACCAUGAUUUCAGUUUUCAGGGGCUCUUCCAACAUGGAGCUGUUCCACUUCCUGUUCAUCCACAUCAUGCAGGAUAGAAAUGAACUGAGCUAAACAGCUUAAAUAGUGAAAAACCCACAUUUCAUUUUUUAGAAUGCUUAUCAAAACGCAGCAUCGAUAAUGUAGAUUAAAUAAAACACUUGUGGCAUUCGGCUUUAGAUUUAAUGUAGACGUAGAUGCUGUGACAUAUAGUGACCUAAAACUCAUAGAAAACUGUUUCACCGCAAUUCAAAACUGUCUUGACCACUGUCAUCACAAACAUGAUGAAUAUGUCAGCAAGAAAAAUUGUAAAAUUUACACUCCUUCCAAUAAAAACAUUGUCCCCCCCCCAACAAAACAAAAACAAUAAACACAUGACCCCACAUUUCUGGGGGAAAAAACUUAACUAUGUAAGUAAUACUGUAACAUACACUGAAAGCAUCAAUAUAGCUGAUAAACAAUAAUGUGACAGGAACACUUUUAAGCAUUUUAUGCAAAGGACAAAGUCCUGAAAAUAAUAUGAUUUGCACAAGCUAUGAUUAAACUUAAUAUGUACAGCCUGUGCUAAGAAAUGUUUCCAAAUUCUGUAGAAACAUUUAAACCAAUAUAAAAAUCAGUUUCUAAACAAAAACACAGAUUUGUGAACAGACACUAUAUAAACACUAAUUAAACGUAUAUAAUUCACUUCCUGGCUCCCUAAUUCUGCACUUUAUUGAAAUUUUGCAAGCCCUUCUUGCAGAUUUUGCAUGGAUAUCAUAGAUAACAGCAAACUGAUUUUUAUUUAGAAAUUGUUUGAGAACACUACAGCAAGCUGAGGCAUCUUCCUCCUGUGCAGGUUUAUCCCAAAGUAAUGAGGUUCAUCCCAAACUGGUACAUCCACCACUUAAAAUCAGCAUCACCACGUCCAUAUUCAGUGUUUACAGAGAUACAGUGAAACUGCGCUCAGUCCUCUGUGUAAUUUCAGACUUGGUUGUGACAUUCACGUAUAAAGACUUUAUUGAUCAAGAGUCCUUUGAAAGUGCCAAAGUUUAGAAAAAGAUGGGCUCAGCACUCUGUCAACAAACCGGUUUUGGACAUUUUGAAGAGCUGCGCUGUCGACAGUGACUGACCACAGAUCCUGUAGAAAUGUAAUCAAACUUUUCAUGUGUGUCCUCUUUAUUUAACUUGUUAUAAUCCUAUUGUGUCAUAAUAUUUAAAUAAUUUGCUUUUUUUUUUUUUUUUUUUUAACAAAGCCAGAAAUGUUACUUUUGUUAAAAUUGUAUAAACUUCUCUUAAAAUGUAAAAAUGUCAACAUGUAAAGAGUUAAACCUUUAGUUUAAAUGGUUUUGAUGCAAUAAUGAACAAUUGCAGCACAUGCUAUAACUGACAGUUUAGUUAUUAUUAUUAUUAUUAUUUUUAUUAUCAUUGUGUAAUUACUUUUCUUUUUGGCUGGCAUUUGUUUAAAUUCGAUUCAGUGCCUUAUCAGAAUCACAGUAACUGUGGACGUUUUUGUUCAAAUAAACCUACAUUUACA